GAUGAACGCUGGCGGCGUGCCUAAUACAUGCAAGUCGAGCGAACAGACGAGGAGCUUGCUCCUCUGACGUUAGCGGCGGGCGGGUGAGUAACGCGUGGAUAACCUACCUAUAAGACUGGGAUAACUUCGGGAAACCGGAGCUAAUACCGGAUAAUAUCUUGAACCGCAGGGUUGAAUAGUGAAAGACGGUUUUGCUGUCACUUAUAGAUGGAUCCGGGCCGUAUUAGCUAGUUGGUAAGGUAACGGCUUACCAAGGCGAGGAUGCGUAGCCGACCGGAGAGGGGGAUAGGCCACCCUGGAACGGGACCCGGGACCAGGCUACUAAGAGAGGGCGCAGUAGGGAAUGGUACGCAGUAGGGGGAAGCAUGGCGGAGCGACCGCGAGUGAGAGACGAAAGCCUUCCGUUCGUGAAACUCUGUUAUUAGGGAAGAACAAAUGUGUAAGUAACUAUGCACGGAGUGACGGUACCUAGUAAGAAAGCACCGGCUAACUACGUG
RNAcentral lists this ribosomal RNA (497 nucleotides) under uncultured bacterium. RNAcentral's name for it is "partial 16S ribosomal RNA". It matches the Rfam family "Bacterial small subunit ribosomal RNA", at positions 28 to 507 of the family's 1533-position model. The record is from RNAcentral.